CCUACGGGGGGCUGCAGUGAGGAAUAUUGGUCAAUGGACGCAAGUCUGAACCAGCCAUGCCGCGUGCAGGAAGACGGCUCUAUGAGUUGUAAACUGCUUUUGUACGAGGGUAAACGCAGAUACGCGUAUCUGUCUGCAAGUAUCGUACGAAUAAGGAUCGGCUAACUCCGUGCCAGCAGCCGCGGUAAUACGGAGGAUUCAAGCGUUAUCCGGAUUUAUUGGGUUUAAAGGGUGCGUAGGCGGUCGGAUAAGUUAGAGGUGAAAUCCCGAGGCUCAACUUCGGAAUUGCCUCGGAUACUGUUCGGCUAGAGAGUAGUUGCGGUAGGCGGAAUGUAUGGUGUAGCGGUGAAAUGCUUAGAGAUCAUACAGAACACCGAUUGCGAAGGCAGCUUACCAAGCUACGUCUGACGUUGAGGCACGAAAGCGUGGGGAGCAAACAGGAUUAGAUACCCCUGUAGUC
This 460-nucleotide ribosomal RNA is filed under the name uncultured bacterium. RNAcentral describes it as "partial 16S ribosomal RNA". It matches the Rfam family "Bacterial small subunit ribosomal RNA", at positions 338 to 795 of the family's 1533-position model. The record is from RNAcentral.